UGGUUAAGUGAAUAAGGGCGUACGGUGAAUGCCUUGGCACUAGGAGCCGAUGAAGGACGGGACGAACACCGAUAUGCUUCGGGGAGCUGUAAGUAAGCUUUGAUCCGGAGAUUUCCGAAUGGGGGAACCUCAUUGUUUUUAUCGACAAUGGUCCACUCAGUGAACACAUAGCUGAGUGGAAGGUAGACGUGGUGAACUGAAACAUCUCAGUAGCCACAGGAAGAGAAAGAAAAAUCGAUUUCCCGAGUAGCGGCGAGCGAAACGGAAAGAGGCCAAACCAGCGUGCUUGCAUGCUGGGGUUGUAGGACUGAUGGACGGGAGUGAAUGAGCUAGUCGAACGCCAUGGAAAGGGCGAUCAGAGAGGGUGACAAUCCCGUAGGCGAAAGCUCAGCCACCUCAUUCAGUAUCCUGAGUACGGCGGUACACGUGAAAUUCCGUCGGAAUCCGCCAGGACCAUCUGGCAAGCCUAAAUACUCCCUAGUGACCGAUAGUGAACCAGUACCGUGAGGGAAAGGUGAAAAGCACCCCGGAAGGGGAGUGAAAGAGUACCUGAAACCGUAUGCCUACAAGCAGUCAGAGCCCGUUAAGGGGUGAUGGCGUACUUUUUGUAGAACGGACCGGCGAGUGACGAUAGCAAGCAAGGUUAAGCUGAAGAAGCGGAGCCACAGCGAAAGCGAGUCUGAAGAGGGCGUUGAGUUUGUUGUCGUCGACCCGAAACCAAGUGAUCUACUCAUGUCCAGGCUGAAGGUGUGGUAAAACACACUGGAGGGCCGAACCCACGUCUGUUGAAAAAGGCGGGGAUGAGGUGUGGGUAGCGGUGAAAUUCCAAUCGAACUUGGAGAUAGCUGGUUCUCUCCGAAAUAGCUUUAGGGCUAGCCUCGGAUGAUGACUAUUGGAGGUAGAGCACUGUUUGAUCGAGGGGUCCAUCCUGGAUUACCGACAUCUGAUAAACUCCGAAUGCCAAAUAGUUUAGUCCGGGAGUCAGACUGCGAGUGAUAAGAUCCGUAGUCGAAAGGGAAAGAGCCCAGACCACCAGCUAAGGUCCCAAAGUUUCAGUUAAGUGGAAAAGGAUGUGGGGUUGCUUAGACAACUAGGAUGUUGGCUUAGAAGCAGCCAUCAUUGAAAGAGUGCGUAAUAGCUCACUAGUCGAGUGACCCUGCGCCGAAAAUGUACCGGGGCUAAACUGAACACCGAAGCUGUGGAUCCAUAGGAUGGUAGGAGAGCGUUCUAUAGGCAGAGAAGCAUGAUCGUGAGGACAUGUGGAGCGUAUAGAAGUGAGAAUGCCGGUAUGAGUAGCGAAAGACGGGUGAGAAUCCCGUCCACCGAAUGACUAAGGUUUCCUGGGGAAGGCUCGUCCUCCCAGGGUUAGUCGGGACCUAAGCCGAGACCGAAAGGGAUAGGCGAUGGACAACAGGUUGAGAUUCCUGUACUUGUUUGAUUUGUUUGAGCGAUGGAAGGACACAGAAGGCUAAGCGGAGCGCGGAGAUGGAAAAACGCGUCCAAGCAAUAAGUGAGAAGGUGAGUGAAAGGCUUGCCUCAGACUUCAUGAGUUGUGACGGGGAGGGAAAUUUAGUACCGAAGCCGCCGACGUCACGCUGUCAAGAAAAGUUUCUAGUGAGAAUCAAACAACCCGUACCGCAAACCGACACAGGUAGUCGAGUGGAGAACACUAAGGUGAGCGAGCGAACUCUCGUUAAGGAACUCGGCAAAAUGACCCCGUAACUUCGGGAGAAGGGGUGCUGACCGCAAGGUCAGCCGCAGUGAAUAGGCCCAAGCGACUGUUUAUCAAAAACAUAGGUCUCUGCCAAAUCGAAAGAUGAUGUAUAGAGGCUGACGCCUGCCCGGUGCUGGAAGGUUAAGAGGAAGGGUUAGCGUAAGCGAAGCUCUGAAUUGAAGCCCCAGUAAACGGCGGCCGUAACUAUAACGGUCCUAAGGUAGCGAAAUUCCUUGUCAGGUAAGUUCUGACCCGCACGAAAGGCGUAACGAUUUGGGCACUGUCUCAACGAGAGGCUCGGUGAAAUUGUAGUACCAGUGAAGAUGCUGGUUACCCGCGACAGGACGGAAAGACCCCAUGGAGCUUUACUGUAGGUUGAUAUUGAAUGUUUGUGCCACAUGUACAGGAUAGGUAGGAGCCAUCGAAGUCGGGACGCUAGUCUCGAUGGAGGCACUGGUGGGAUACUACCCUUGUGGGAUGACCAUUCUAACCCGCGACCAUUAGCUGGUCGGGAGACAGUGUCAGUCAGGCAGUUUGACUGGGGCGGUCGCCUCCUAAAGUGUAACGGAGGCGCCCAAAGGUUCCCUCAGAAUGGUUGGAAAUCAUUCGCAGAGUGUAAAGGCAGAAGGGAGCUUGACUGCGAGACCUACAAGUCGAGCAGGGACGAAAGUCGGGCUUAGUGAUCCGGUGGUUCCGCAUGGAAGGGCCAUCGCUCAACGGAUAAAAGCUACCCUGGGGAUAACAGGCUUAUCUCCCCCAAGAGUUCACAUCGACGGGGAGGUUUGGCACCUCGAUGUCGGCUCAUCGCAUCCUGGGGCUGAAGUCGGUCCCAAGGGUUGGGCUGUUCGCCCAUUAAAGCGGUACGCGAGCUGGGUUCAGAACGUCGUGAGACAGUUCGGUCCCUAUCCGUCGCGGGCGUUGGAAAUUUGAGAGGAGCUGUCCUUAGUACGAGAGGACCGGGAUGGACACACCGCUGGUGUACCAGUUGUUCCACCAGGAGCAUGGCUGGGUAGCUAUGUGUGGACGGGAUAAGCGCUGAAAGCAUCUAAGCGUGAAGCCCCCCUCAAGAUGAGAUUUCCCAUACUUUAAAAGUAGUAAGACCCCUGAAAGACGAUCAGGUUGAUAGGUUUGGAGUGGAAGCUUAGCAAUAAGUGGAGCGGACAAAUACUAAUCGGUCGAGGACUUAUCCAAA
This is a ribosomal RNA of 2906 nucleotides. It matches the Rfam family "Bacterial large subunit ribosomal RNA".